ACGGAGGGUGCAAGCGUUAUUCGGAAUCAUUGGGCGUAAAGGGCGUGUAGGCGGUUUAUCAAGUCAGAUGUGAAAGCCCGGGGCUCAACCUCGGAAGUGCAUUUGAAACUGGUAGACUUGAGUGCGGGAGAGGAAAGCGGAAUUCCCAGUGUAGAGGUGUUCUUCGUAGAGACUGGCGGGGAGACGCGUGGCGGUGGCGACUUAAGGGGACUACUCUGACUCUGAGGCGUGUAAUCGUGGUGAGCGGACUG
This 251-nucleotide ribosomal RNA is filed under the name uncultured prokaryote. Its description in RNAcentral is "partial 16S rRNA". It matches the Rfam family "Bacterial small subunit ribosomal RNA", at positions 525 to 775 of the family's 1533-position model. The record is from RNAcentral.